RNAcentral lists this transfer RNA (72 nucleotides) under Camelus bactrianus (Bactrian camel). It matches the Rfam family "tRNA". From Rfam's summary of the family: Transfer RNA (tRNA) molecules are approximately 80 nucleotides in length. RNAcentral also lists the same sequence under 1 other name. The record is from Rfam by way of RNAcentral. Lineage: Eukaryota; Metazoa; Chordata; Mammalia; Artiodactyla; Camelidae.
GAAGGUAUAGCUCAGUGGUAGAGCACAUGCUUAGCAUGCACAAGGUCCCGGGUUCAAUCCCCAGUACCUCCA